UUUUAGUAAUUCACUCAUCCAAAAACCUUCCAACGUCUCUUAUAGAAAUAUUAAGAUUGGUCCAUUUAGCAUUCAUCCACCAUGCAACUCUAACUUCGACAAGUUCAAAAAUUUUCCCACCAUCCCAUUUUUUACCUUUAAAGACCACAUCACUCCUCACAAUCCAAAUGGCCCAUAUAUUGGCAUGACAUGCCAUUUUUCAUACCAAAUCA
This 212-nucleotide long non-coding RNA is filed under the name Theobroma cacao (cacao). RNAcentral's name for it is "long non-coding RNA (TCAC_LNC005586)". Lineage: Eukaryota; Viridiplantae; Streptophyta; Magnoliopsida; Malvales; Malvaceae. The record is from RNAcentral.